RNAcentral lists this ribosomal RNA (329 nucleotides) under uncultured eukaryote. RNAcentral describes it as "partial 18S ribosomal RNA". It matches the Rfam family "Eukaryotic small subunit ribosomal RNA", at positions 1470 to 1796 of the family's 1831-position model. The record is from RNAcentral.
CCCUUAGAUGUCCUGGGCCGCACGCGCGCUACACUGAGUGUCUGAGAUACGAGUCUGCCUGGUCCGGCAAGGUCUAGGUAAUCGCUAAAAGACACAUCAUGCUUGGGAUAGAUUAUUGCAAAUAUUAAUCUUGAACGAGGAAUCCCUAGUAAGCGCAAGUCAACAGCUUGCGUUGAUUACGUCCCUGCCCUUUGUACACACCGCCCGUCGCUACUACUGAUUGGAUGUUUAAGCGAGGUUCUCGAACUGCUAGCGACUUAGCUUCGGUGAGGUCGCAGUGUGGGAAGUGAACCGAGCUUUGGUGUCUAGAGGAAGUAAAAGUCGUAACA